AACACAUGCAAGUCGAACGAUGACCCCAGCUUGCUGGGUGAUUAGUGGCGAACGGGUGAGUAACACGUGAGUAACCUGCCCCUGACUCUGGGAUAAGCCCGGGAAACUGGGUCUAAUACUGGAUAUGCACCGUGGACCGCAUGGUCCUUGGUGGAAAGAUUUUUUGGUCAGGGAUGGACUCGCGGCCUAUCAGCUUGUUGGUGAGGUAAUGGCUCACCAAGGCGACGACGGGUAGCCGGCCUGAGAGGGUGACCGGCCACACUGGGACUGAGACACGGCCCAGACUCCUACGGGAGGCAGCAGUGGGGAAUAUUGCACAAUGGGCGAAAGCCUGAUGCAGCGACGCCGCGUGAGGGAUGACGGCCUCCGGGUUGUAAACCUCUUUCAGUAGGGAAGAAGCGAAAGUGACGGUACCUGCAGAAGAAGCGCCGGCU
This 434-nucleotide ribosomal RNA is filed under the name grassland soil clone saf2_222. RNAcentral's name for it is "bacterial SSU rRNA". It matches the Rfam family "Bacterial small subunit ribosomal RNA", at positions 50 to 498 of the family's 1533-position model. The record is from RNAcentral.